GGGACACGUGGUAUCCUGUCUGAAUAUGGGGGGACCAUCCUCCAAGGCUAAAUACUCCUGACUGACCGAUAGUGAACCAGUACCGUGAGGGAAAGGCGAAAAGAACCCCGGCGAGGGGAGUGAAAAAGAACCUGAAACCGUGUACGUACAAGCAGUGGGAGCACCCUUUGGGGUGUGACUGCGUACCUUUUGUAUAAUGGGUCAGCGACUUAUAUUCUGUAGCAAGGUUAACCGAAUAGGGGAGCCGGAGGGAAACCGAGUCUUAAUUGGGCGUUAAGUUGCAGGGUAUAGACCCGAAACCCGGUGAUCUAGCCAUGGGCAGGUUGAAGGUUGGGUAACACUAACUGGAGGACCGAACCGACUAAUGUUGAAAAAUUAGCGGAUGACCUGUGGCUGGGGGUGAAAGGCCAAUCAAACCGGGAGAUAGCUGGUUCUCCCCGAAAGCUAUUUAGGUAGCGCCUCGUGAAUUCAUCUCCGGGGGUAGAGCACUGUUUCGGCUAGGGGGCCAUCCCGGCUUACCAACCCGAUGCAAACUGCGAAUACCGGAGAAUGUUAUCACGGGAGACACACGGCGGGUGCUAACGUCCGUCGUGAAGAGGGAAACAACCCAGACCGCCAGCUAAGGUCCCAAAGUCAUGGUUAAGUGGGAAACGAUGUGGGAAGGCCCAGACAGCCAGGAUGUUGGCUUAGAAGCAGCCAUCAUUUAAAGAAAGCGUAAUAGCUCACUGGUCGAGUCGGCCUGCGCGGAAGAUGUAACGGGGCUAAACCAUGCACCGAAGCUGCGGCAGCGAACGUAUCACCCAAGACAACUUUGCGGAGUUGACGAUUGACGGAGCGAAGCGACGUCAAAGCGUUCAUUAAAGUCGAGUUGGCUUAGGGAUACGUUCGUUGGGUAGGGGAGCGUUCUGUAAGCCAGUGAAGGUGUGUCGUGAGGCAUGCUGGAGGUAUCAGAAGUGCGAAUGCUGACAUAAGUAACGAUAAAGCGGGUGAAAAGCCCGCUCGCCGGAAGACCAAGGGUUCCUGUCCAACGUUAAUCGGGGCAGGGUGAGUCGACCCCUAAGGCGAGGCCGAAAGGCGUAGUCGAUGGGAAACGGGUUAAUAUUCCCGUACUUGGUGUUACUGCGAAGGGGGGACGGAGAAGGCUAUGUUGGCCGGGCGACGGUUGUCCCGGUUUAAGCGUGUAGGUGUGUGUUCCAGGUAAAUCCGGUU
Molecule: ribosomal RNA, 1209 nt
Filed under: Salmonella enterica subsp. enterica
Lineage: Bacteria; Pseudomonadati; Pseudomonadota; Gammaproteobacteria; Enterobacterales; Enterobacteriaceae
Description: partial 23S ribosomal RNA
Rfam family: Bacterial large subunit ribosomal RNA
Source: RNAcentral